Molecule: long non-coding RNA, 308 nt
Organism: Chelonia mydas (Green sea turtle)
Lineage: Eukaryota; Metazoa; Chordata; Testudines; Cheloniidae
Exons: 3
Source: RefSeq, a predicted model, not a curated record
UCGAAGAGCAGUAAGAGGACCUGACCUGACGGUAGACCAGCAGCAGAUUUGUUACCUAGUGAUGUCUCUGUGCUAGAGGAGGCUGAAGGCCAGAGGGACAAUGGCAGGGUCUCCUGUUGGAGGUGAGAUCUUAAUAGAAUAGGGGUGGUGAAGGAUGAUCUCCUAGGUAGACUAAACUCCCAACAGAGAGGCCGGGGCCGGUUCCUGUUGGGAGGAAUGGGGCACAUUCUAGGUGGAAAGACUGUAGCUGAGUCCACGUGUGGUGAAAGACGCUGGAGCAUGGUAUCAGUCCUUACUUUGUUGCUGUC